Molecule: ribosomal RNA, 400 nt
Filed under: uncultured bacterium
Lineage: Bacteria
Description: bacterial SSU rRNA
Rfam family: Bacterial small subunit ribosomal RNA
Source: RNAcentral
AUUGAACGCUGGCGGCAUGCCUAACACAUGCAAGUCGAACGGCAGCGCGGGGGCAACCCUGGCGGCGAGUGGCGGACGGGUGAGGAAUACAUGGGAAUCUACCCUGUCGUGGGGGAUAACGUAGGGAAACUUACGCUAAUACCGCAUACGACCGAGAGGUGAAAGCGGCGGACCGCAAGGCGUCGCGCGAGAGGAUGAGCCCAUGUCGGAUUAGCUAGUUGGCGGGGUAAAGGCCCACCAAGGCGACGAUCCGUAGCUGGUCUGAGAGGAUGAUCAGCCACACUGGAACUGAGACACGGUCCAGACUCCUACGGGAGGCAGCAGUGGGGAAUAUUGGACAAUGGGCGCAAGCCUGAUCCAGCAAUGCCGCGUGGGUGAAGAAGGCCUCGGUUGUAAGACC